This 513-nucleotide ribosomal RNA is filed under the name uncultured bacterium. RNAcentral's name for it is "partial 16S ribosomal RNA". It matches the Rfam family "Bacterial small subunit ribosomal RNA", at positions 28 to 523 of the family's 1533-position model. The record is from RNAcentral.
GAUGAACGCUGGCGGCGUGCCUAAUACAUGCAAGUCGAGCGAACAGACGAGGAGCUUGCUCCUCUGACGUUAGCGGUGGACGGGUGAGUAACACGUGGAUAACCUACCUAUAAGACUGGGAUAACUUCGGGAAACCGGAGCUAAUACCGGAUAACAUGUUGAACCGCAUGGUUCAACAGUGAAAGACGGUCUUGCUGUCACUUAUAGAUGGAUCCGCGAAGCAUUAGCUAGUUGGUAAGGUAACGGCUUACCAAGGCAACGAUGCGUAGCAGACCUGAGAGGGUGAUCGGCCACACUGGAACUGAGACACGGUCCAGACUCCUACGGGAGGCAGCAGUAGGGAAUCUUCCGCAAUGGGCGAAAGCCUGACGGAGCAACGCCGCGUGAGUGAAGAAGGUCUUCGGAUCGUAAAACUCUGUUAUUAGGGAAGAACAAAUGUGUAAGUAACUAUGCACGUCUUGACGGUACCUAAUCAGAAAGCCACGACUAACUACGUGCCAGCAGCCGCCGUAA